AGCAAAAUGGCAAAAGCUGGCUUGAUCUCGAUGUUCAGUAUGCAUAGAGACUGCGAAAGCACGAUCUAACAUCUGUAAUCCGUUAACAGUGGAAGAUAAAUUACC
Molecule: non-coding RNA, 105 nt
Filed under: Dufourea novaeangliae
Lineage: Eukaryota; Metazoa; Arthropoda; Insecta; Hymenoptera; Halictidae
Description: Eukaryotic large subunit ribosomal RNA
Rfam family: Eukaryotic large subunit ribosomal RNA
Source: Rfam by way of RNAcentral